CACAGGGGAAGGAUCUUUUUCUGGAGAUUCCUCCUCUGAAGUAUUUCCUGUGAACCUAGAUCUGCAGCUAUAGCUGGACAACCACAGAAGUGAUUGGCACUUAGCUGUAUCUGUCAAGAGCCACUCUGAAAGCUGACAGCUAUGCGCUAACAGAUGUCGCACAACUGCUAACAACAGAUGGACAAGGAGAUGAGGAAGGAAGAAGAUAUAGUACACUGUUAAAAUUACUCACACAAAAAGUUACUCCUUCUGAUGCCCCCUAAGGGCAGGUGUAGCAGAAAUGCAAGUCACAGCCUGAAACAGUGAUGAUUGAGCACCUGGUGGGAAGGCAGGGCCAGCCCAGCCCUUCCCAAACCUCAUUUAAGGGCUGGCAGUGGAGGUUGAGAGUAUCUUUCUGCAGAUCCCUGCCUACCAGAGGCCUUUCAAAGGUAAAGUGUUUUUCUUCCUUUGUUUCUGUGUCCCAGCUGCUGCACCUGGGGUUAUUCUCAUUUGUUGCAGCCUGGGAUUGUGCCACCUUGCAACUAUUGCUAUACUUUCCAUCACAUUAUAGCAUUACAACAGGUUUAUCAAAAUUACUUAUGUGAAUUGUAUUGCAGUUGGUUUUGCAACUUUCAGAGGAAAUGCACAAG
Molecule: non-coding RNA, 629 nt
Organism: Meleagris gallopavo (turkey)
Lineage: Eukaryota; Metazoa; Chordata; Aves; Galliformes; Phasianidae
Source: RefSeq, a predicted model, not a curated record